GGGCCUAUAGCUCAAUGGUUAGAGCAGGGAACUCAUAAUUCCUUGGUUCCCGGUUCAAAUCCGGGUGGGCCCA
This 73-nucleotide transfer RNA is filed under the name Opitutia bacterium AMD-G3. RNAcentral describes it as "Opitutae bacterium AMD-G3 tRNA-Met". It matches the Rfam family "tRNA". From Rfam's summary of the family: Transfer RNA (tRNA) molecules are approximately 80 nucleotides in length. Their secondary structure includes four short double-helical elements and three loops (D, anti-codon, and T loops). Further hydrogen bonds mediate the characteristic L-shaped molecular structure. tRNAs have two regions of fundamental functional importance: the anti-codon, which is responsible for specific mRNA codon recognition, and the 3' end, to which the tRNAs corresponding amino acid is attached (by aminoacyl-tRNA synthetases). tRNAs cope with the degeneracy of the genetic code in two manners: having more than one tRNA (with a specific anti-codon) for a particular amino acid; and 'wobble' base-pairing, i.e. permitting non-standard base-pairing at the 3rd anti-codon position. RNAcentral also lists the same sequence under 4 other names. The record is from RNAcentral. Lineage: Bacteria; Pseudomonadati; Verrucomicrobiota; Opitutia.